Eupeodes corollae is the source of this 410-nucleotide long non-coding RNA. RefSeq lists it as uncharacterized. The record is from RefSeq and is a predicted model, not a curated record. NCBI's taxonomy places the organism in Eukaryota, Metazoa, Arthropoda, Insecta, Diptera, Syrphidae. The transcript is spliced from 3 exons.
UUCUUCAAUUUGUUUUUAUUUUACAGAAAAUGUUGUCGUCGAUAUUCAGUAGUUUUUUUUUAUAAAAAUACAAUAGUACGCAAAUUUGGUAAAAAUUGAUGUUCGGUUCUCAAAUUAAUUUCAUUCAUCCAAUUUAUAAAAAUAAGGAAAAUCUAUCAAAACUGGAUUUGGAACUAAAAUAUUUCUUUAGAUGAAAAAUAAUGUUGCAAGACAAAUCGACAGACGGGAUGGGAAGUUAUCAGUGCGGGUCGCAUCCCAGCCUCUUUUAUCAAAUGGGUUCAAGACUUAACUUAAACGAACAACUUAUACUCGAUCAAAGUCUUAAUUUAAGAUAUUUAAUUAAUUUAAAUUAAAACAAAACGGAUUCACAGCGAUUAAAUCGUCUUAAGUUAAUACUGAAACCCAAAUUA